CCUCGUCAAAGCUGACGGUUGGCUGAAAGGAGAUCACAUUGAUUUGGGCUUGUAUCUCAUCCGGAAGCGACAACAACAGUUGGAGGAAGUAGAAAUAUCGGACUGGACAACGACCGAUGUAUUUUUUAUGAAUCACAUCCAUACUUGCUUUGCGGAUAAUAAAAGGAAAAAAGAGCAAGUUGGGUGGAAAAUUAGAACCAGUUUAGUGAAC
This is a non-coding RNA of Prunus mume (Japanese apricot), 211 nucleotides long. Lineage: Eukaryota; Viridiplantae; Streptophyta; Magnoliopsida; Rosales; Rosaceae. The record is from RefSeq and is a predicted model, not a curated record.